Molecule: ribosomal RNA, 490 nt
Filed under: uncultured bacterium
Lineage: Bacteria
Description: bacterial SSU rRNA
Rfam family: Bacterial small subunit ribosomal RNA
Source: RNAcentral
GAUGAACGCUAGCGGCAGGCCUAAUACAUGCAAGUCGAACAAUAGUCUUGUCUUCGGAUGAGAUGAGAGUGGCGCACGGGUGAGUAACGCGUACACGACCUACCUUACAGAGGGGGAUAGCCUUGGGAAACUGGGAGUAAUCCGCCAUAGUGUAUAUGAUCUGCAUGGAUGGUAUACUAAAGCUUCGGCGCUGUAAGAUGGGUGUGCGUCUGAUUAGGUAGUUGGUAGGGUAACGGCCUACCAAGCCAACGAUCAGUAGGGGGCUGAGAGGAUGAUCCCCCACACUGGUACUGAGACACGGACCAGACUCCUACGGGAGGCAGCAGUAAGGAAUAUUGGACAAUGGAGGCAACUCUGAUCCAGCCAUGCCGCGUGAAGGAUUAAGGCCCUAUGGGUUGUAAACUUCUUUUAGACGGGACAAAACCCCUUUACGUGUAAAGGGUUGAUGGUACUGUCAGAAUAAGCAUCGGCUAACUUCGUGCCAGCAGCC